CCUACGGGUGGCAGCAGUGAGGAAUAUUGGUCAAUGGGCGCGAGCCUGAACCAGCCAAGUAGCGUGAAGGAUGACUGCCCUACGGGUUGUAAACUUCUUUUAUCAAGGAAUAAAAUGAGGCACGUGUGCCUUUUUGUGUGUACUUUAUGAAUAAGGAUCGGCUAACUCCGUGCCAGCAGCCGCGGUAAUACGGAGGAUCCGAGCGUUAUCCGGAUUUAUUUGGGUUAAAGGGAGCGUAGAUGGGUUGUUAAGUCAGUUGUGAAAGUUUGCGGCUCAACCGUAAAAUUGCAAUUGAUACUGGCAGUCUUGAGUACAGGUGAGGUAGGCGGAAUGCGCGGUGUAGCGGUGAAAUGCAUAGAUAUCACGAAGAACUCCGAUUGCGAAGGCAGCUUACUAAA
Molecule: ribosomal RNA, 398 nt
Filed under: uncultured bacterium
Lineage: Bacteria
Description: partial 16S ribosomal RNA
Rfam family: Bacterial small subunit ribosomal RNA
Source: RNAcentral